Molecule: microRNA precursor, 78 nt
Filed under: Schistosoma margrebowiei
Lineage: Eukaryota; Metazoa; Platyhelminthes; Trematoda; Strigeidida; Schistosomatidae
Description: mir-3492 microRNA precursor family
Rfam family: mir-3492 microRNA precursor family
Source: Rfam by way of RNAcentral
AGCUUUUCGAAUCCGUGCAGAGAUUUCGUCAGACACCAACCCAUCAGGGUUGAUCUGACUUCUAAGCUAAGUGAAGUC